RNAcentral lists this ribosomal RNA (253 nucleotides) under uncultured bacterium. RNAcentral's name for it is "partial 16S ribosomal RNA". It matches the Rfam family "Bacterial small subunit ribosomal RNA", at positions 524 to 776 of the family's 1533-position model. The record is from RNAcentral.
GACGUAGGGCGCGAGCGUUGUCCGGAUUUAUUGGGCGUAAAGCGCUCGCAGGUGGUUCGUCGCGUCGUGCGUGAAAGACCCCGGCUCAACUGGGGGAGGUCGUGCGAUACGGGCGGACUGGAGGCCAGUAGGGGGAUGCGGAAUUCCGGGUGUAGUGGUGGAAUGCGUAGAGAUCCGGAGGAACACCAGCGGCGAAGGCGGCAUCCUGGACUGGUCCUGACACUCAUGAGCGAAAGCGUGGGGAGCGAUCCGG